GCUGCUUUCGUCUAGUGGUUAGGAUAACUCCUUUACAACAAAAUCUAACAUUUCUAACGGAGUAGAUCGCAGGUUCGAUCCCUGCAAGUAGCA
Ustilago sp. UG-2017b is the source of this 93-nucleotide non-coding RNA. The record is from the annotation of a GenBank genome assembly. Lineage: Eukaryota; Fungi; Basidiomycota; Ustilaginomycetes; Ustilaginales; Ustilaginaceae.